UGAGCAAUCUGCCCUUCUCUUCGGAAUAAGCGUGGGAAAACGCGUCUAAUGCCGAAUACGACCUCCUUUCGCAUGAUCGGAGGUGGAAAGCUCCGGCGGAGAAGGAUGAGCUCGCGGCCUAUCAGCUAGUUGGUGUGGGUAAUGGCCCACCAAGGCGACGACGGGUAGCCGGCCUGAGAGGGUGACCGGCCACACUGGGACUGAGACACGGCCCAGACUCCGUACGGGGAGGCAGCG
Molecule: ribosomal RNA, 237 nt
Filed under: uncultured bacterium
Lineage: Bacteria
Description: partial 16S ribosomal RNA
Rfam family: Bacterial small subunit ribosomal RNA
Source: RNAcentral